AUUGGACAAUGGGCGGAAGCCUGACCGCCUGCCGCGUGUGUGAAGAAGGCCUUAUGGUUGUAAGCACUUUAAGCGAGGAGGAGGCUACUCUAGUUAAUACCUAGGGAUAGUGGACGUUACUCGCAGAAUAAGCACCGGCUAACUCUGUGCCAGCAGCCGCGGUAAU
RNAcentral lists this ribosomal RNA (166 nucleotides) under uncultured bacterium. Its description in RNAcentral is "partial 16S ribosomal RNA". It matches the Rfam family "Bacterial small subunit ribosomal RNA", at positions 363 to 524 of the family's 1533-position model. The record is from RNAcentral.